GUGGCAAACGGGUGAGUAUAAUGUGGGAAUCUACCUUUUGGUUUGGAAUAACACGGGGAAACUUGUGCUAAUACCGAAUAAGCCCUUACGGGGAAAGUUUUAACGCCGAAAGAUGAGCCCGCACUUGAUUAGCUAGUUGGUAAGGUAAAAGCUUACCAAGGCAACGAUCAAUAGCUGUUCUUAGAGGAAGACCAGCCACAUUGGGACUGAGACACGGCCCAGACUCCUACGGGAGGCAGCAGUGGGGAAUCUUGCACAAUGGGGGAAACCCUGAUGCAGCGAUGCCGCGUGAGUGAAGAAGGCCCUUGGGUUGUAAAACUCUUUCGUCGGGGAAGAAAAUGACUGUACCCGAAUAAGAAGGUCCGGCUAACUUCGUGCCAGCAGCCGCGGUAAUACGAAGGGACCUAGCGUAGUUCGGAAUUACUGGGCUUAAAGAGCUCGUAGGUGGUUAAAAAAGUUGAUGGUGAAAUCCCAAGGCUCAACCUUGGAACUGCCAUCAAAACUUUUUAGCUAGAGUGUGAUAGAGGUAAGUGGAAUUUCUAGUGUAGAGGUGAAAUUCGUAGAUAUUAGAAAGAACACCAAAUGCGAAGGCAACUUACUGGGUCACUACUGACACUGAGGAGCGAAAGCAUGGGUAGCGAAGAGGAUUA
Molecule: ribosomal RNA, 650 nt
Filed under: uncultured marine bacterium
Lineage: Bacteria
Description: bacterial SSU rRNA
Rfam family: Bacterial small subunit ribosomal RNA
Source: RNAcentral